RNAcentral lists this ribosomal RNA (542 nucleotides) under Eurotiales sp. Rco025ITS1. RNAcentral describes it as "eukaryotic LSU rRNA". The stretch from base 170 to 323 matches the Rfam family "5.8S ribosomal RNA". The record is from RNAcentral. Lineage: Eukaryota; Fungi; Ascomycota; Eurotiomycetes; Eurotiales.
GGGGCCUCGUGGCCAACCUCCCACCCUUGUCUCUAUACACCUGUUGCUUUGGCGGGCCCACCGGGGCCACCUGGUCGCCGGGGGACAUCUGUCCCCGGGCCCGCGCCCGCCGAAGCGCUCUGUGAACCCUGAUGAAGAUGGGCUGUCUGAGUACUAUGAAAAUUGUCAAAACUUUCAACAAUGGAUCUCUUGGUUCCGGCAUCGAUGAAGAACGCAGCGAAAUGCGAUAAGUAAUGUGAAUUGCAGAAUUCCGUGAAUCAUCGAAUCUUUGAACGCACAUUGCGCCCCCUGGCAUUCCGGGGGGCAUGCCUGUCCGAGCGUCAUUUCUGCCCUCAAGCACGGCUUGUGUGUUGGGUGCGGUCCCCCCGGGGACCUGCCCGAAAGGCAGCGGCGACGUCCGUCUGGUCCUCGAGCGUAUGGGGCUUUGUCACUCGCUCGGGAAGGACUGGCGGGGGUUGGUCACCACCAAAAUUUUACCACGGUUGACCUCGGAUCAGGUAGGAGUUACCCGCUGAACUUAAGCAUAUCAAUAAGCGGAGGAA